This is a non-coding RNA of Salmo salar (Atlantic salmon), 58 nucleotides long. The record is from Rfam. Lineage: Eukaryota; Metazoa; Chordata; Actinopteri; Salmoniformes; Salmonidae.
UGGCUCAGUUGGUAGAACAUGGUGUUUGCAACGCCAGGGUUGUGGGUUCGUUUCCCAC